UAGCUAAACCAUGGUACAAUCUACGACCACGGUCAUACCAACCAUAGUGGUCCUAUCAGAUAUCUACAAUCACGACACUACUUAGCCAAUGGUGACCCCUAACAGAUAUUUGCGUCACCACUCUCAUCAAAGGGUACGCUGCCAUCCACAAGGAGCGGUCCUCUUAUAUCUUUUCAGACCAGAUGGGAGAGAAAAAAAUAGAUACACCAUAUGGAGCUAGGGGAACAAAUAACCCUCAGAGAUAAAAAGGUUAACGAGACACUUGAUGCAUUAUGCAUACCAGUGCAGAUGCAUACUUUGGACCAUUCAUGCUUCAUUCCACUU
Molecule: long non-coding RNA, 324 nt
Filed under: Carica papaya (papaya)
Lineage: Eukaryota; Viridiplantae; Streptophyta; Magnoliopsida; Brassicales; Caricaceae
Description: long non-coding RNA (CPAP_LNC004102)
Source: RNAcentral